Molecule: ribosomal RNA, 327 nt
Filed under: uncultured Bacteroidota bacterium
Lineage: Bacteria; Pseudomonadati; Bacteroidota
Description: bacterial SSU rRNA
Rfam family: Bacterial small subunit ribosomal RNA
Source: RNAcentral
GAUGAACGCUAGCGGGAGGCUUAACACAUGCAAGUCGAGGGGCAACAGGAAUAGCAAUAUUUGCUGGCGACCGGCGCACGGGUGAGUAACGCGUAUGCAACCUGCCCAUAACAGGGGGAUAGCUUCCGGAAACGGAAAUUAAUACCCCAUAGGAUUUUGAUGCCGCAUGGUAAUAAAGAUUAAAACUACGGUGGUUAUGGAUGGGCAUGCGUGCCAUUAGCUAGUUGGCGGGGUAACAGCCCACCAAGGCUACGAUGGCUAGGGGGUCUAAAAGGAUGAUCCCCCACACUGGUACUGAGACACGGACCAGACUCCUACGGGAGGCAG